GUUCUCGUAGUUAAAUGGAUAUAACGGCUUCCUCCUAAGAAGCAAUUACAGGUUCGAUUCCUGUCGAGGACACCA
RNAcentral lists this transfer RNA (75 nucleotides) under Candidatus Altimarinota bacterium. RNAcentral describes it as "tRNA-Arg". It matches the Rfam family "tRNA". Rfam says of the family: Transfer RNA (tRNA) molecules are approximately 80 nucleotides in length. Lineage: Bacteria; Candidatus Altimarinota. The record is from RNAcentral.